Molecule: transfer RNA, 72 nt
Filed under: Datura stramonium (jimsonweed)
Lineage: Eukaryota; Viridiplantae; Streptophyta; Magnoliopsida; Solanales; Solanaceae
Description: tRNA-Glu
Rfam family: tRNA
About the family: Transfer RNA (tRNA) molecules are approximately 80 nucleotides in length. Their secondary structure includes four short double-helical elements and three loops (D, anti-codon, and T loops).
Source: RNAcentral
UCCGUUGUAGUCUAGUUGGUCAGGAUACUUGGCUUUCAUCCGAGAGACCGGGUUUAAGUCUCGGCAACCGAA